This 444-nucleotide ribosomal RNA is filed under the name uncultured soil bacterium. Its description in RNAcentral is "bacterial SSU rRNA". It matches the Rfam family "Bacterial small subunit ribosomal RNA", at positions 26 to 518 of the family's 1533-position model. The record is from RNAcentral.
AGAGCGAACGCUGGCGGCAGGCUUAACACAUGCAAGUCGAGCGGGCCCUUCGGGUCAGCGGCAGACGGGUGAGUAACACGUGGGAACGUACCCUUUGGUUCGGAAUAACGCUGGGAAACUAGCGCUAAUACCGGAUACGCCCUUUUGGGGAAAGGCUUGCUGCCGAAGGAUCGGCCCGCGUCUGAUUAGCUAGUUGGUGGGGUAAUGGCCUACCAAGGCGACGAUCAGUAGCUGGUCUGAGAGGAUGAUCAGCCACACUGGGACUGAGACACGGCCCAGACUCCUACGGGAGGCAGCAGUGGGGAAUAUUGGACAAUGGGCGCAAGCCUGAUCCAGCCAUGCCGCGUGAGUGAUGAAGGCCUUAGGGUGUAAAGCUCUUUUGCCCGGGACGAUAAGUGACGGUACCGGAAGAAUAAGCCCGGCUAACUUCGUGCCAGCAGCCGC